CAGUCGCCGCGGUAAUACGUAGGUGGCAAGCGUUGUCCGGAAUUAUUGGGCGUAAAGGGCUCGCAGGCGGUUUCUUAAGUCUGAUGUGAAAGCCCCCGGCUCAACCGGGGAGGGUCAUUGGAAACUGGGAAACUUGAGUGCAGAAGAGGAGAGUGGAAUUCCAUGUGUAGCGGUGAAAUGCGUAGAGAUGUGGAGGAACACCAGUGGCGAAGGCGACUCUCUGGUCUGUAACUGACGCUGAGGAGCGAAAGCGUGGGGAGCGGACAGGAUUAGAUACCCCAGUAGUCCCUGUCUCUUAUAC
RNAcentral lists this ribosomal RNA (301 nucleotides) under uncultured bacterium. RNAcentral's name for it is "partial 16S ribosomal RNA". It matches the Rfam family "Bacterial small subunit ribosomal RNA", at positions 509 to 807 of the family's 1533-position model. The record is from RNAcentral.